UUGAACGCUGGCGGCAGGCCUAACACAUGCAAGUCGAACGGUAACAGGAAACAGCUUGCUGUUUCGCUGACGAGUGGCGGACGGGUGAGUAAUGUCUGGGAAACUGCCUGAUGGAGGGGGAUAACUACUGGAAACGGUAGCUAAUACCGCAUAACGUCGCAAGACCAAAGAGGGGGACCUUCGGGCCUCUUGCCAUCGGACGUGCCCAGAUGGGAUUAGCUAGUAGGUGGGGUAACGGCUCACCUAGGCGACGAUCCCUAGCUGGUCUGAGAGGAUGACCAGCCACACUGGAACUGAGACACGGUCCAGACUCCUACGGGAGGCAGCAGUGGGGAAUAUUGCACAAUGGGCGCAAGCCUGAUGCAGCCAUGCCGCGUGUAUGAAGAAGGCCUUCGGGUUGUAAAGUACUUUCAGCGGGGAUGAAGGGAGUAAAGUUAAUACCUUUGCUCAUUGACGUUACCCGCAGAAGAAGCACCGGCUAACUCCGUG
RNAcentral lists this ribosomal RNA (489 nucleotides) under uncultured bacterium. Its description in RNAcentral is "partial 16S ribosomal RNA". It matches the Rfam family "Bacterial small subunit ribosomal RNA", at positions 30 to 507 of the family's 1533-position model. The record is from RNAcentral.